CCUAGGCGGCUUAGAGCGGGGACAGUUUAUGACAGGGGCGUCUGCAGCUGGUGACACUCUUUAGGAAAGUUAUUUCUCAUAACCCUGGGAAGUUGCAUGCUGUUGCCACAGCAGAGCGAGCCCCAAGUAGGCUCCAUGCCCAACACGAGGUUUGAACUCAUGACCCCGAGAUUGAGAGUCGAAUGCUCUACCCACUGCGACAGUCCGAUGACCCUUGACCCUUUCCAGUUUUCUAAAGAAGACCUGUUUCAGGCUACAUCCUCAGAGUCUUGUUGGCUCCAUUGCAUUCUUGGUGGCCAGAACCCAGAGCCCACAGGCACAGGGAAUUUACAGAGACCCUCGUUUCUUCACUCUCUCCCCUCUGCUGGUCUCCUAAUCUCAUCUACCCCCUUGGCCUGCUUCUCUUUCUUUUUAAUCCAGUUUUAUUGAGAUGUAAUUAACAUGUAAUGUGGUAUGAGUUUAAGAUAAAUAGCAUAAUGAUUUGCUAUA
This is a long non-coding RNA of Mustela lutreola (European mink), 489 nucleotides long. RefSeq lists it as uncharacterized. The transcript is spliced from 2 exons. Lineage: Eukaryota; Metazoa; Chordata; Mammalia; Carnivora; Mustelidae. The record is from RefSeq and is a predicted model, not a curated record.